This 502-nucleotide ribosomal RNA is filed under the name uncultured bacterium. RNAcentral describes it as "partial 16S ribosomal RNA". It matches the Rfam family "Bacterial small subunit ribosomal RNA", at positions 29 to 523 of the family's 1533-position model. The record is from RNAcentral.
AUUGAACGCUGGCGGCAUGCCUUACACAUGCAAGUCGAACGGCAGCACGGGUGCUUGCACCUGGUGGCGAGUGGCGAACGGGUGAGUAAUACAUCGGAACGUACCUUAUCGUGGGGGAUAACGCAGCGAAAGCUGUGCUAAUACCGCAUACGCCCUGAGGGGGAAAGCGGGGGGAUCGCAAGACCUCGCGCGAUUAGAGCGGCCGAUGCCUGAUUAGCUUGUUGGUGGGGUAAAAGCCCACCAAGGCGACGAUCAGUAGCUGGUCUGAGAGGACGAUCAGCCACACUGGGACUGAGACACGGCCCAGACUCCUACGGGAGGCAGCAGUGGGGAAUUUUGGACAAUGGGGGCGACCCUGAUCCAGCAAUGCCGCGUGAGUGAAGAAGGCCUUCGGGUUGUAAAGCUCUUUUGUCAGGGAAGAAACACCGGCUCUAACACAGUCCGGGAAUGACGGUACCUGAAGAAUAAGCACCGGCUAACUACGUGCCAGCCGCCGCCGUAA